GCUCCGGUAUCCCAAUUCGGCAGAGGAACACGCCUCAGAAGCGUGUCAGUGUCGGUUCAAAUCCGACUCGGAGUACCA
RNAcentral lists this transfer RNA (78 nucleotides) under Deinococcus sp. KSM4-11. RNAcentral's name for it is "tRNA-Leu". It matches the Rfam family "tRNA". Rfam says of the family: Transfer RNA (tRNA) molecules are approximately 80 nucleotides in length. The record is from RNAcentral. Lineage: Bacteria; Thermotogati; Deinococcota; Deinococci; Deinococcales; Deinococcaceae.